Molecule: ribosomal RNA, 301 nt
Filed under: uncultured bacterium
Lineage: Bacteria
Description: partial 16S ribosomal RNA
Rfam family: Bacterial small subunit ribosomal RNA
Source: RNAcentral
CAGCAGCCGCGGGAAUACGAAGGGGGCUAGCGUCGUUCGGAUUUACUGGGCGUAAAGCGCACGUAGGCGGAUCCUUAAGUCAGAGGUGAAAUCCCGAGGCUCAACCUUGGAACUGCCUUUGAUACUGGGGAUCUCGAGUUCGGGAGAGGUGAGUGGAACUGCGAGUGUAGAGGUGAAAUUCGUAGAUAUUCGCAAGAACACCAGUGGCGAAGGCGGCUCACUGGCCCGAUACUGACGCUGAGGUGCGAAAGCGUGGGGAGCAAACAGGAUUAGAUACCCCAGAGUCCCUGUCUCUUAUACA